AAAAUCUCUCUCUCUCUCUCUCUCUCUCUCUCUCUCUCUCUCUCUCUCUCUCUCUCUCUCUCUCUGUAUUCUCUUUCGUUCGGAUCUAUUUCGAAGAUACAGAAGCACACGAGGCUAUAUAUUCACAAUCUUGUGUGUACAUGCAAAUGUUUGAUUUAUUGCGGCGGUCUCUAAUUCGCUUGGUGCAGGUCGGGAACUUUCUUCGCCGGUUAUGUCGUUUCAACUUUCACGUGAAUAUUCCAAACGCCAAAAUCGUGCUCAUAUAAAUAUGUAUGGAUUUCUGUAUGUAUAAACAAACUAAUUGAUGUCGUUGUAUUUGGCGAAAAUCAGGUUCCCGCCUUGCACUAAGCAAAUUAGAGACCGCGGUGAAUGUUACAUCGUAAAGGACGGUGUUUCAUCUUAUUCCGGUGGAUCUCUUUAUUGAUUUGGUUCAAUUGUAGGUUUGGAUUUGAUUUGUUUUCAGCUGAAUGCGUUGGAAUGACUCAGAUAAUUUACGACUAUUCUAUUUGAGUGACAGAUCUUUUGGACUUUGCAGGUAUGUGCUUGUUUUAAAGUUUUUUGUUCAAGAAAAAGACAUGAGGAAAAUAUGGAAAUAGGAUGAUUUCUAAUUGGAAUUUUCUGAGAUAAUUAAUUCAUUUUGAGUGGCUGUUUGUGUCUGUUUAUUUAUUGUUUAAAUUCUGAGCUUUUUCCUUUUUAUUUUUAUUUAUUUUUAUUAUUAUUUUUUUUUUUUAACAUAAAAUUAAUCAAGAAGCAAUCAAUUACUAUUAAAAAAAAUUUUUGUGGUGAAAAGUAAUUAUUUUUCUUUCUUUCUGAUUUCCUUUUUUCCUGACAAAUUCAGAGAGCAUUUUGAUUUUCCAUCGGAAUAUUUGAUGGAUCUUAGUAAAAAUGUCAGAAUUUGUGCAAAUAAGUGCUACCAAAUCUAAUUUCCCUCGUAUAUAGUUCUCGACUUAAAAAUUGUGAAUUGUUGGCUUAGACUAUCUCAGCAAAGUUUGCCAGUUAUGCUAGCAGAUAUUUGGGCUUCUCAUUAUUUAACAUUUCUGGAUUCAAGCGAAUAGAUACAGGGGCGUGUGAGUUGAAUUUUGAAUUUUAUGUUUACAUGGUUAAAAAAUUCAACGUUUCGUGGAAAAUAUCCAUUUGCUAGGACAUGGAAAAGAAACACUGAUACCUCUGAAGCCAUAACAUAUUCAAUUUGUAUGCCCUCGUCAAUGUGAUUGAAAGUUAUCACAUAAGCAUAUUUCUUACAAGUGCAUUGAAUUAUGUCUAUUAUUUUUUUGUUUAUAGUGUAUUCUGGAAAGUUGACAAACAGUUUUCACUUCUCCUUCUGCCAAAGACAAAUUGUUGAACACGCUUAUGUUUUUUAUUGAUGCUUAGGAUGUGGUCUUUUAUUGCACACAGGCUUGUUUUGGACUUCCUUUACAUAAAGGAAAUUCCUGAUUUGACUCUAGAAGGGAAUAGAAAGAAGGGAAAGAAAGUCUCCUUACAAUAUUAUGUUCAUUUAUUUCGUUUUAGUAGUGAUUUCUGAAAAAAUUAAUUUAUUUAUGCAUGUGUAUAUGCUUUACAAGUCUAAUUUAUAAAAAUAUUUGGGCUCAUGGAUCAAUUAAUUCAUUACAUAAACCUGAAAGCACACAUAGUUAGGAUUCAAUUUUUUCCCUUUUUGCUGACAAUUAACUCGAUACAGAAAAUUUUCACCUUGCUUAAGGUUUCUUUAUCUGUUCAUUCUUUUCUAAAUUGUGCUUUAUGUUUUUUCUUUGUUAUUUUUUUUUAUGACAACUGUUUAACAUUCAAAAUUUUGGUCAUUGGAACUAACGAGCUCUAAAAAAAUUCUCUAGAGUAUAUCUGAAUGCAAAUUCAUAAUUCAUGGAAUUCGUUCUUGACGAAACUUUGGGCUAAAAUUACUUCAAAAGUUUUAAGAGUUUUCUGGUCUUUAUGCUUCUUCAAAAGUUAAGGCUGUGGUUCUCAAUACUUACCCAUUUUAUAUCUCAUCAAAGAUACAAAUUAUAAUUCUUCUGCAUCAUUGUAUGAUCUACAUACAGCCAUUAUUAAAUUCAAUUUACACUUCAAAUUAUACUUAAGUCAAUUGAAUAAGAAAUUAUACUCAUGCAACCUUAUUUUCGCACAUAUUGUGUCCAUUUUUAAUUAUUGCCCUUGUUUGAGCCCCAUUUUUGUGAAGAAAAUGAAUUUUUGAAUAGUGUAUUGAUGGAAAAUGUGUGGUUAAAAAAUAAGGAAAAGUUUUUGAUUUGCGUACAAUAUUAUUUUAUUGAAGAAUGUAUGGUUGAAAUGAUGUCAAAUCACUGUUGAAUAAUGUAUUUUAGUUGAAAAAUGGGGCUCAAACAAGGGCAUUCAUCUUAUGCUACUCCUGCAUCUUGAGAAAUGACAUUUCAUGAAUUUUGGAUCCUUGUAUGACGAAUUUUUUUCUUAGGAUUUUAUCAUUUUAUUGUCUGGGUACCUUGUUUGCUUUGGGUUAUGCACAGAUUUAUGCAUGAUGAGUGGGUGAGAACAUGUAUUUCAAUCAAAUGCAUAAUAUUUUUCAAUCUGCAGUUGACACGUCUUUAUCAUCUCUGACUUGUCUGAAAUGUGUGCCAUGUUUAUUCUAUGUCCUGGAAUCUCAUAAUUGGAAAGUUAAAGUAAGAUGCACCUCCUUCCAAUGCAAUGUCUGUUUGUGUCUACCGUCUGUUGGCAUUGCAGCAUUAUCGGAACGUUAAUUCAAUCAAAACAUUUGUGUUAUAGCAUUCGGUAUGUUUGAACUGUCUUUCACAUUUGAUUUAUGCUGACUAAUUUGUUGGUGGCUUGUAUUUGAUUCCAGUUUAUAUGGUGGGCUAGAGCGAAGUUUGGGCUGUAUUGCCAUGAUGUCCUUGGAUUGAUCAUGUUGGGUCAAUAUUUUGGACCUCUUGACUUUCAAGCAAAAGGUCAGAAUGACAUUGCUUGAAUAGAUUGUCUAUUUGCUGACUUUGUGUGUUUCUUCAUUUUCAUCUAUAAGUUUCUUAUUCAUGGACUAUGUGGGACACAUUCCUAUGGAAGUAGCAAUUUUAAUGCCAGAAGUGUGUUACUCAUGGAUUAUGUGGGAUCUUCAACUAGAUAAGCAACAACGGUAGGGCUUAAAUGCAUUAUGUUUUUAUUUGUUGAAAUCUUUUUUCUUUCCAUCUUUUUGGAUAAGGAUUUUUAUAUCUAACAUUUUGUUAUUCAUACUUGUCGGUAUUAGGUUUUGUCUUCAAGCCACAAAAUCUUCUAUCUUUCCAUGGUGUGCGACUUAUAUAAGUAGACAUGACUUUGGACAUGGCUUGCUCACAAAAGAAGGUAAAAUAUUACGCUGAUAGAUUGAUGAAUAAAAG
Molecule: long non-coding RNA, 3329 nt
Filed under: Olea europaea subsp. europaea
Lineage: Eukaryota; Viridiplantae; Streptophyta; Magnoliopsida; Lamiales; Oleaceae
Rfam family: MIR168 microRNA precursor family (bases 158-371)
Source: RNAcentral